This 159-nucleotide ribosomal RNA is filed under the name Gerronema strombodes. RNAcentral's name for it is "5.8S ribosomal RNA". It matches the Rfam family "5.8S ribosomal RNA". Rfam says of the family: 5.8S ribosomal RNA (5.8S rRNA) is a component of the large subunit of the eukaryotic ribosome. It is transcribed by RNA polymerase I as part of the 45S precursor that also contains 18S and 28S rRNA. The record is from RNAcentral. Lineage: Eukaryota; Fungi; Basidiomycota; Agaricomycetes; Agaricales; Porotheleaceae.
ACAACUUUCAGCAACGGAUCUCUUGGCUCUCGCAUCGAUGAAGAACGCAGCGAAAUGCGAUAAGUAAUGUGAAUUGCAGAAUUCAGUGAAUCAUCGAAUCUUUGAACGCNCCUUGCACUCCUUGGUAUUCCGAGGAGUANGCCUGUUUGAGNGUCAUUA